CCUACGGGAGGCAGCAGUGAGGAAUAUUGGUCAAUGGGCGCGAGCCUGAACCAGCCAAGUAGCGUGAAGGAUGACUGCCCUACGGGUUGUAAACUUCUUUUAUAAGGGAAUAAAGUGAGGCACGUGUGCCUUUUUGUAUGUAUUUUAUGAAUAAGGAUCGGCGAACUCCGUGCCAGCAGCCGCGGUAAUACGGAGGAUCCGAGCGUUAUCCGGAUUUAUUGGGUUUAAAGGGAGCGUAGAUGGGUUGUUAAGUCAGUUGUGAAAGUCUGGGGCUCAACCGUAAAAUUGCAAUUGAUAUUGGCAGCCUUGAGUACAGGUGAGGUAGGCGGAAUUCGUGGUGUAGGGGUGAAAUGCUUAGAUAUCACGAAGAACUCCGAUUGCGAAGGCAGCCUACU
Molecule: ribosomal RNA, 395 nt
Filed under: uncultured bacterium
Lineage: Bacteria
Description: partial 16S ribosomal RNA
Rfam family: Bacterial small subunit ribosomal RNA
Source: RNAcentral